RNAcentral lists this ribosomal RNA (893 nucleotides) under uncultured bacterium. RNAcentral describes it as "bacterial SSU rRNA". It matches the Rfam family "Bacterial small subunit ribosomal RNA", at positions 8 to 916 of the family's 1533-position model. The record is from RNAcentral.
AGAGUUUGAUCCUGGCUCAGGAUGAACGCUGGCGGCGUGCGUAAUACAUGCAAGUCGAGCGAACCACUUCGGUGGUGAGCGGCGAACGGGUGAGUAACACGUAGGUGAUCUGCCCAUCAGACGGGGACAACGAUUGGAAAUGAUCGCUAAUACCGGAUAGGACGAAAGUUUAAAGGUGCUUCAGGCACCGCUGAUGGAUGAGCCUGCGGCGCAUUAGCUAGUUGGUAGGGUAAAGGCCUACCAAGGCGACGAUGCGUAGCCGACCUGAGAGGGUGAACGGCCACACUGGGACUGAGACACGGCCCAGACUCCUACGGGAGGCAGCAGUAGGGAAUCUUCGGCAAUGGGCGAAAGCCUGACCGAGCAACGCCGCGUGAAUGAUGAAGGCCUUCGGGUUGUAAAAUUCUGUUAUAAGGGAAGAACGACUUUAGUAGGAAAUGGCUAGAGUGUGACGGUACCUUAUGAGAAAGCCACGGCUAACUACGUGCCAGCAGCCGCGGUAAUACGUAGGUGGCGAGCGUUAUCCGGAAUUAUUGGGCGUAAAGAGCGCGCAGGUGGUUGAUUAAGUCUGAUGUGAAAGCCCACGGCUUAACCGUGGAGGGUCAUUGGAAACUGGUCGACUUGAGUGCAGAAGAGGGAAGUGGAAUUCCAUGUGUAGCGGUGAAAUGCGUAGAGAUAUGGAGGAACACCAGUGGCGAAGGCGGCUUCCUGGUCUGUAACUGACACUGAGGCGCGAAAGCGUGGGGAGCAAACAGGAUUAGAUACCCUGGUAGUCCACGCCGUAAACGAUGAGUGCUAAGUGUUGGGGGUCGAACCUCAGUGCUGAAGUUAACGCAUUAAGCACUCCGCCUGGGGAGUACGGUCGCAAGACUGAAACUCAAAGGAAUUGACGG